This 3049-nucleotide long non-coding RNA is filed under the name Malus domestica (apple). Its description in RNAcentral is "long non-coding RNA (MDOM_LNC007251)". The record is from RNAcentral. Lineage: Eukaryota; Viridiplantae; Streptophyta; Magnoliopsida; Rosales; Rosaceae.
UCGCCGUUGAGCGCCAUGGCUUCAGCGGUCAGGUUUUCCGUCGUUUCUAGAUUUCGAUUCGUCUGUUAGGGCUCGGUUUAUUCCUGCGAUAUUGAUGAUUUAUUUCGAUGGAUUACGUUUGUUAUCGGUGUGUGAUUUUAGGGUUUGGAUUCUUGGCGAUGGGGAUUUUUCUUGCCAGGUUAAAAUUUUUGAUCUAACGAUGCUUGAAGGUUGAAUUUCCUUAUAUAUUUCAAUUUUUUGGAUUGCGUUUCCGGUUUUGAUUCAUCUGUUUGGGAUUGAUUGAUUGAUUCUGCGUUCGUAGUGCUGUCGGUGUGUUUCUAGGGUUUGGUGGCUGGAUUCGUGGCAAUCGCCUCAUUCUAACAGGUUUAAUAAAGUUUGGAUCUGUCGGUGUGUUUCUAGGGUUUGUUGGCUGGAUUCGUGGCAAUCGCCUCUUUCUAACAGGUUUAAUAACGUUUGGAUCUGAUUAUUUUUCAAAGGUUGCGAAUUCCCAAUCGAAUUUUGUGGAUAUUGAUGGAUUUUGAUAUCUCAUCUUAAAUCUGUUGAUCUGCUUUUGGGUUUUUUGAUUUGGUGUGGUGGUUCCAGGGCGUUUUGGAUUCAAUAACUGGUUCAGCUAGGAGUUCGAUUUGAAGAUUCUCUAUUUACCCUGGGUUUUUGCGUAUCUUCUGUUACCUCAUUGAAGUUUAUGAAAUGAUGAUUUAGUUUAGAAAUUUUGAUCCCCAUCCCAUAUAUGUCCGAAUAAAUGGAGCUUUGUUGUUAACUUUCAGGCAUGGAUUGCGGGUUUCAGUCGCAUAGAUGUCUUAAGACUCGAGCGGUUAGGUAUUGUAUUUGGCUAAUGUUUUGAUGGCGUUCUUGUGUGAUUGCUCUGUGGUUGGGUUUGUACUCCUGUUUUCGCGAUAAAAAUCUUUUGAUGCCUCCCUUUCUUCUUAAAUGUUUAUUUUCCUCCUCUCUCAUUCAAAAAUCGUUCUAAAUUUUAUUACCUUCUAUUGGCAGAUACUAAAUUGGGAAUUUGUACGGUAUUAUCAAGCUGGCAUUAUUUUACACGUAAAUUGGGAAUAUGUUCAAAUCGGGUUUAAUGUCCUCAAUAUUGAUUAUUUCCAUUCAAUUCUGCAUCUUUUUGCAGUCGCUCGUUUUCAGAUCUUUUUAUUUCUUUCCUCAGAUUUAUUUUCCUAUCUCAGAAAAUGUUUGGCCUACGUUUAUUUUUGUUUAGCAGCUACUUUUUAAUUUUUAUUCCUAAAUAAAUAUUGGCUAUUAUGUAUUUUAAGGCUUCUUGCCCACAGCUUUUGUUUUAUAGUUCUAAGAGUCUUGAAGGUUUCGUUUUUUGUUUAGCAGCGUCUUAUGCAAAUGCGUUCUAAUUCUUCUUAGCCAGUCACAGCUAAGAUUUUUUGUAGAUGAAAAAUGUUUCAGGGAGCUGGAGGUGUCUCGGUUUGUUUAUGCACCCUGCUUGGCUUCUUGUUUCUGUUAAAUGUCCAUUACAUUCGAUUGCUGUGUUGUCCUGCCCUUGAUGUUUAGUGCAGAUUCAUCAACAGGGUUCUAACUUCACUCUAUGAGUGGGCACUUAAAGAAGGGGUUUCUCUUGGCUUUUGAUUCUUUUUUUUUUUGUAUUUUAGAGCGUAUAGGUUUUGUGCCACAAUCUGAGCAGUUCUUUUGUCUGCAGACACAUUUUAUUCUUGUUGAGGGAGAGCUGGGUGUUUCAAAGAUGGGGUUUGAGUGGUUCUGAGUGUGAUUUAACUUUUAUGAAUUUGAGCCAUUGUUAUAUCAAUGAUCUUAUUAAAAAAAUUUCUGGUUACAGUUUCGCUGGGUCGAGGAAAAUGGCUGCCUGAUUUAAAGGGGGUUUGUUUCUUUGCUUAUGUUUUAACUGUAUUCUUAGGGCUUAUGAGAUCUAGCACCAUUAUUUGUGGAAUAUUCUUUGCAGAUGAUGUAUCUUGUUUGUUUAUGAAGUCUAAUCUUGUUGGAGCAGAACAUGCUGGUUUGGAGGGGGUCUAAGUGCUUUCUUGCUUUUUAAUUGAAUACUCAUUCAUUUGAUUUGUUUGGUCCUACGUUUGUGUCUACCCAUUCUUGUUUGUAUGCAGAUGUGGGUCGAAGUGCACCUUGUUAGGAUUCUACAGUUUGGGAGCUUUGUGUGGCUUGGUUUGUUUAUUCACCCUGAUUGGCUUCUUGUUUCUGUUAAAUGACCAUUACAUUCGAUUUCUGUGCUGUCCUUCCUUUGGUGUCUUAUGCAGAUGCAUAGCUGAGUCCUAACUCUAUCCAUCCCUAGUAAAGAGUGUCGGAGUUUCACUUCUUUAAAACAUGAGCGGGCAGAAUUUUAAUAGGGGGUUCCUCUUGGCUUAUGAUUCUAUUUUUGUAUUUUAGAGCGAAUGGAUCUUGCCAUAAUCUGAGCAAUGUUUCCUUAUGCAGACACAUUCUAAUCUUUUUGGAAGGAGAACAUGCUGCUUCAAAGCGGGGGUUUGAGUGGUUUUCGAUUGAUUUAAUUUUAUGUGAUUUUGAAACAUUAUUUGAACAAUGAUCUUUUCAAAUAUUUUCUGGCUAUGCAGUUUCCCUCAGUUGAAGGAAAAUGGCUGCCUGAUUUAAAAGGGGGGUUUCUUGGCAUAUGUUUCAAUCUCUUGGCUUAUGAUUCUAUUUUUGUAUUUUAGAGCGUAUGGAUCUUGCCAUAAUCUGUGCAAUGCUUCCUUAUGCAGACACAUUCUAAUCUUUUUGGAAGGAGAACAUGCUGCUUCAAAGCGGGGGUUUGAGUGGUUUUCGAUUGAUUUAAUUUUAUGUGAUUUUGAAACAUUAUUUGAACAAUGAUCUUUUCAAAUAUUUUCUGGCUAUGCAGUUUCCCUCAGCUGAAGGAAAAUGGCUGCCUGAUUUAAAAGGGGGUUUCUUGGCAUAUAUUUCAAUCUCUUGGCUUAUGAUUCUAUUUUUGUAUUUUAGAGCGUAUGGAUCUUGCCAUAAUCUGUGCAAUGCUUCCUUAUGCAGACACAUUCUAAUCUUUUUGGAAGGAGAACAUGCUGCUUCAAAGCGGGGGUUUGAGUGGUUUUUCGAUUGAUUUAAUUUUAUGUGAUUUUGAAAC